Molecule: ribosomal RNA, 497 nt
Filed under: uncultured bacterium
Lineage: Bacteria
Description: partial 16S ribosomal RNA
Rfam family: Bacterial small subunit ribosomal RNA
Source: RNAcentral
GAUGAACGCUGGCGGCGUGCCUAAUACAUGCAAGUCGAGCGAACAGACGAGGAGCUUGCUCCUCUGACGUUAGCGGCGGACGGGUGAGUAACACGUGGAUAACCUACCUAUAAGACUGGGAUAACUUCGGGAAACCGGAGCUAAUACCGGAUAAUAUAUUGAACCGCAUGGUUCAAUAGUGAAAGACGGUUUUGCUGUCACUUAUAGAUGGAUCCGCGCCGCAUUAGCUAGUUGGUAAGGUAACGGCUUACCAAGGCAACGAUGCGUAGCCGACCUGAGAGGGUGAUCGGCCACACUGGAACUGAGACACGGUCCAGACUCCUACGGGAGGCAGCAGUGGGGAAUCUUCCGCAAUGGGCGAAAGCUUGACGGAGCAACGCCGCGUGAGUGAUGAAGGUCUUCAGAUCGUAAAACUCUGUUAUUAGGGAAGAACAAAUGUGUAAGUAACUAUGCACGUCUUGACGGUACCUAAUCCGAAAGCCACGGCUAACUACGUG